RNAcentral lists this ribosomal RNA (350 nucleotides) under Aeromonas hydrophila. RNAcentral describes it as "bacterial SSU rRNA". It matches the Rfam family "Bacterial small subunit ribosomal RNA", at positions 630 to 979 of the family's 1533-position model. The record is from RNAcentral. Lineage: Bacteria; Pseudomonadati; Pseudomonadota; Gammaproteobacteria; Aeromonadales; Aeromonadaceae.
AAACUGUCCAGCUAGAGUCUUGUAGAGGGGGGUAGAAUUCCAGGUGUAGCGGUGAAAUGCGUAGAGAUCUGGAGGAAUACCGGUGGCGAAGGCGGCCCCCUGGACAAAGACUGACGCUCAGGUGCGAAAGCGUGGGGAGCAAACAGGAUUAGAUACCCUGGUAGUCCACGCCGUAAACGAUGUCGAUUUGGAGGCUGUGUCCUUGAGACGUGGCUUCCGGAGCUAACGCGUUAAAUCGACCGCCUGGGGAGUACGGCCGCAAGGUUAAAACUCAAAUGAAUUGACGGGGGCCCGCACAAGCGGUGGAGCAUGUGGUUUAAUUCGAUGCAACGCGAAGAACCUUACCUGGC